UUGAACGCUGGCGGAAUGCUUUACACAUGCAAGUCGAGCGGCAGCGCGGGGGCAACCCUGGCGGCGAGCGGCGAACGGGUGAGUAAUACAUCGGAACGUACCCAGUUGUGGGGGAUAGCCCGGCGAAAGCCGGAUUAAUACCGCAUAGGUCCUGAGGGAGAAAGCGGGGGACCGUAAGGCCUCGCGCGAUUGGAGCGGCCGAUGUUCGAUUAGCUAGUUGGUGGGGUAAAGGCCUACCAAGGCGACGAUCGAUAGCUGGUCUGAGAGGAUGAUCAGCCACACUGGAACUGAGACACGGUCCAGACUCCUACGGGAGGCAGCAGUGGGGAAUUUUGGACAAUGGGGGAAACCCUGAUCCAGCCAUUCCGCGUGAGUGAAGAAGGCCUUCGGGUUGUAAAGCUCUUUCAGGAGGGAAGAAACGGUUACGGAUAAUACCUGUGACUAAUGACGGUACCUUCAGAAGAAGCACCGGCUAACUACGU
This 482-nucleotide ribosomal RNA is filed under the name uncultured bacterium. RNAcentral describes it as "bacterial SSU rRNA". It matches the Rfam family "Bacterial small subunit ribosomal RNA", at positions 29 to 506 of the family's 1533-position model. The record is from RNAcentral.